Dictyocaulus viviparus (bovine lungworm) is the source of this 72-nucleotide non-coding RNA. NCBI's taxonomy places the organism in Eukaryota, Metazoa, Nematoda, Chromadorea, Rhabditida, Metastrongylidae. The record is from Rfam.
UCCUCGGUGGUGUGAUGGAAAGCACGGCAGACCGGAUAUCUGUAAAUGCGGGUGCGAGUCCCGCCUGAGGUC